Molecule: transfer RNA, 71 nt
Filed under: Pseudocolochirus violaceus
Lineage: Eukaryota; Metazoa; Echinodermata; Holothuroidea; Dendrochirotida; Cucumariidae
Description: tRNA-Leu
Rfam family: tRNA
About the family: Transfer RNA (tRNA) molecules are approximately 80 nucleotides in length. Their secondary structure includes four short double-helical elements and three loops (D, anti-codon, and T loops). Further hydrogen bonds mediate the characteristic L-shaped molecular structure. tRNAs have two regions of fundamental functional importance: the anti-codon, which is responsible for specific mRNA codon recognition, and the 3' end, to which the tRNAs corresponding amino acid is attached (by aminoacyl-tRNA synthetases). tRNAs cope with the degeneracy of the genetic code in two manners: having more than one tRNA (with a specific anti-codon) for a particular amino acid; and 'wobble' base-pairing, i.e. permitting non-standard base-pairing at the 3rd anti-codon position.
Source: RNAcentral
GUUUAAAUAGCAAAAUAGUAAUGCACUAGAUUUAGGUUCUAACACCAAAGGUGCAAAUCCUUUUUUAAACU